Molecule: long non-coding RNA, 197 nt
Organism: Trichomycterus rosablanca
Lineage: Eukaryota; Metazoa; Chordata; Actinopteri; Siluriformes; Trichomycteridae
Exons: 3
Source: RefSeq, a predicted model, not a curated record
CAGACAGACUCCCAGGGAUCACGACUGUCUUCUGAAGCUCCAGGUGACAUCAGUUCUGGAGAAGUCAUCUGUGAUGCUCUCGAGAACAAGGAUGCUGAAGGAGAAACCACCGACAGAGAACGUCAAGAGGAGAAAACGACCAACACGAACCUGGACAGCUUUGAGAGCGGACACACUGUCGGAGAGCUGCUGGGAAA